RNAcentral lists this ribosomal RNA (244 nucleotides) under uncultured bacterium. RNAcentral describes it as "partial 16S ribosomal RNA". The record is from RNAcentral.
UAGUCGCGUCCAUGAGGACAGACGGGAUUCGGGGGUUGGCCAGCUUUCGUGGGGGGGACGGGCGGGGUGGUACAAGGCCCGGGAACGUAUUCACCGCGGCGUUGCUGAUCCGCGAUUACUAGCAACUCCACCUUCAUGGAGGCGAGUUUCAGCCUCCAAUCCGAACCGAAACCGGCUUUUUGGGAUUCGCUCCACCUCGCGGCAUCUCAACCCUUUGUACCGGCCAAUGUAUCAUGUGUGUACU